GUUGUUCCACUUGUGGUGGUUGCUCAAUAAGAUCUUCUAAAGCAUUUUCAAUAGGACAUGGAGCUUGAAUAAUUGGUUCCUCAAUGUCCAUCCCAUUUGGAUGAACAAGCAAUGUGUUACUUAAUGCAGGAGUAGUAUUAAGAACAUGAUUUUCCUCAAAAACUAAGGUUUUAAGUUGAUCACUCUCACUAACCACGUCUAUUUCAAGAAAGUUAGCAUUUCUUGAUUCAACAAAUCUACUUGUAUGAUUUGGACAAUAAAACUUGUAACCCUUGGGCUUUUCAACAUAUCCAAUAAAAUAUCCACUCAUAGUCCUUGGGUCUAACUUUUUUUCUUGUGGAUUGUAAACCCUAACUUUAGCUGGACAACUCCAAAUGAGUACAUGUCUUAAACUCGGUUU
This 400-nucleotide long non-coding RNA is filed under the name Theobroma cacao (cacao). RNAcentral describes it as "long non-coding RNA (TCAC_LNC006055)". Lineage: Eukaryota; Viridiplantae; Streptophyta; Magnoliopsida; Malvales; Malvaceae. The record is from RNAcentral.